GAUAAACGCUAGCGGCAGGCUUAACACAUGCAAGUCGAGGGGCAGCAUAGAUUGUAGCAAUACAAUUGGUGGCGACCGGCGCACGGGUGCGUAACGCGUAUGCAACCUACCCGUCACAGGGGGAUAAUCCGGAGAAAUCUGGUCUAAUACCCCAUAACAUAUGGAUCGGCAUCGGUUCAUGUUGAAAUUUUCGGAGGUGACGGAUGGGCAUGCGUAGCAUUAGCUUGUUGGUGAGGUAACGGCUCACCAAGGCGACGAUGCUUAGGGGGACUGAGAGGUUUUCCCCCCACACGUGUACUGAGACAGGGACCGGACUCCUACGGGAGGCAGCAGGGGGGAAUAUUGGUCAAUGGGCGCAAGCCUGAACCAGCCAUGCCGCGUGCAGGAUGACGGCUCUAUGAGUUGUAAACUGCUUUUGUACAGGGAUAAAUCGGGGUACGCGUACCCCGUUGAAGGUACUGUGGGAAUAAGGAUCGGCUAACUCCGUGCCAGCCGCCGCCGUAA
This 504-nucleotide ribosomal RNA is filed under the name uncultured bacterium. Its description in RNAcentral is "partial 16S ribosomal RNA". It matches the Rfam family "Bacterial small subunit ribosomal RNA", at positions 28 to 523 of the family's 1533-position model. The record is from RNAcentral.